UUUACAAGAAAAACCUCUACUUCUGCCUUUAUUAUGAAGAAAAAUCUGAAGAAACAUAAAAUCGCUAAAUCCGGUCUCUGAAUUGAGGUGACUAGUCUUUAAUGCAAGAACAAUCCAAUCUACAAAACCUCACCCAGAGUAUCUGAAGAUAGACAGUAUAAACACAAAGGCUUGUGUUUUUAAAUAUAUUUCUCCAGUCAAAUUUUUCUGCAGGAAUAGCCACAGCAAUCAUGAUCCAUAAAUAUUUUCAGUUACUUUCAUUUUCAGUACUAGCCAAUUGGAGUUUGUCAAACCAUCGUUAGUCGGAAAAAAAAAAUGGAAUCAGCUAGAGUAACAUGUAAACCCAAUUUAGAACUAAAUUCCAACUUUUAAAAAGUUCCCUGAUUCAUCAAAAGUAGAUUUCAUCCAUUUAGGCUGAACAGUAAAACUGGAACUCAUUUUUUGACUUAAUAAAGAAUAUCUUCAGCAAAAGUUGAUUACCUUAUAUGAAACUGAGAAAUCAUGUAUCACAACUUUAAAUCAGACAAGAACUUUUGGUAUGUUCUUAAAAUUAUAUAAAAAUAGUUUUAGUGAUUAUAUGCAUUGGUCCCCUGGAUUUCAUAAAGCAGAUCUGGUAGGCUUGUAAAUGGCCAAAAAAAAAAAGUAAAAGUACCUGAUCAUAGAGCUAGAGAUUAUUAAACAGGAAACAUAACACAAUUAUAAAACAAACCUCUCAAACUCACUCAUUUGCUUUGAUGAAAUCAUGGUAACUACAGAAAAAACUCAAAUUUGGACUCAAAAUAUUAACCUCUAAACAAUAUUUUCCCCAUGUUGUUUUUAAACACAUGAAAUUGACACUAAAUUCCUAUGAAGUAUGUCAUUCAUUCUAAAAUUACUUUGGC
RNAcentral lists this long non-coding RNA (881 nucleotides) under Bos taurus (domestic cattle). Its description in RNAcentral is "long non-coding RNA NONBTAT024563". Lineage: Eukaryota; Metazoa; Chordata; Mammalia; Artiodactyla; Bovidae. The record is from RNAcentral.